Non-coding RNA from Oncorhynchus mykiss (rainbow trout), 139 nucleotides. NCBI's taxonomy places the organism in Eukaryota, Metazoa, Chordata, Actinopteri, Salmoniformes, Salmonidae. The record is from RefSeq and is a predicted model, not a curated record.
ACUAACUGUUACAUGAAGAUGUUUGGUACCAGAGGUAACAGGAGAAUGAUGUCAAACUGUCACAGCUCAGCCUCCUCUUCCUCUUCCUCCUCCUAGGAACCAGUCUAACAAACCAAAAACCAACCAAAAUACAACCUAA